This is a long non-coding RNA of Oncorhynchus keta (chum salmon), 5396 nucleotides long. RefSeq lists it as uncharacterized. The transcript has 3 exons. The record is from RefSeq and is a predicted model, not a curated record. Lineage: Eukaryota; Metazoa; Chordata; Actinopteri; Salmoniformes; Salmonidae.
GAUGUUAUUUUCAGUGUGACAUUUACCUGAAAAAGCUGCUUCUGGUGCGCCUGGCUCAUCUUCAGAGUUUCAUUUUCAAAGAGAGAAAGAACACCUCCAUCAUCAUGUCAGUUGUGGAGGUGGGGUUGGACGAGUGUUAGGAGCAAGAGGGUAAACUUCUUAAAAACACACAUCAUCAUGUCAGUUGUGGAGGUGGGGUUGGACGAGUGUUAGGAGCAAGAGGGUAAACUUCUUAAAAACACACAUCAUCAUGUCAGUUGUGGAGGUGGGGUUGGACGAGUGUUAGGAGCAAGAGGGUAAACUUCUUAAAAACACACAUCAUGUCAGUUGUGGAGGUGGGGUUGGACGAGUGUUAGGAGCAAGAGGGUAAACUUCUUAAAAACACACAUCAUCAUGUCAGUUGUGGAGGUGGGGUUGGACGAGUGUUAGGAGCAAAAGGGUAAACUUCUUAAAAACACACAUCAAGUCAACACACCAUCCAUCAAGGUAAACAAAUUAUGCCAUUCAAGUGAAGAGAUGUCAGCAGAGAGAACUGGCUGCCUCCUGUACGGCGAUAGACACUAGAGCUCCUGUCCAGAUCCAGCGACACACUAGACUGUAGAUCAGAGAAAACCACCAUGCGAUACACACGUGUGGAUGCGUCACCCUGGGAGAGGUACAGAUAAAACCAAGCCAUCCAUACUACAAAGUACUAAUACAGUCAAUCAUAACUUAGUAUUAAGCUUUUAAUCCUUUAGUUACUGUGUGAACUACAGGGGAGGUCCAAACUUCCACUCAAAUUAUUUACAAGUCCCUACUGUAAUACUGCUGGAAAUCCACUUGAAAUGUUUGAUUCUUUAUCACGAUUCAACCAAGCCUGGCUCUUCAGUUAAACCAAAACAUCCAUAAAUGCAUUUAAAAUCAGAUGCUGCUAAACCAGUUCUUAUUGACCCCUGAACAUGAAUUAUGAAUUGAAAAAAAAAACGGUUAACUGAAAAGGCUACUUCCUAUUCCUGAAAGAGAAUUUUCAUUCCCUUUCUGACAUGACUAAUUAAAAAUGGCCUCAUUGACCCCAAACCCCACUCUCCAUAAAAAUGACUCUUGAACAAUAUUUGAUUUGAUCAAUAGGGGGCACCACUCCAUCCACAAGGUUCAUAAAUGAUGAGCCAUACAUGCAUAUAAAGAGGUCACAGGGAGGGUUGGAUGAUGACACACUCCCAGGUUAAAUAUUAUUAUAGGAACCAGAAGAGCAGGCGCCAGGUAGAAUAUAAUGACCUAGUGGGAGUACUGUGGUAGAAGUACCACGAGAUGAACGUGUUGCAACGUCCAUGUCUCACACCCAGGCUUCAGAUCUAUGGCCAUAGGUUUCCUUGUGAAGGAUUUAACAAGUGUGGUUUCUGGUUUCACAAUAUGCUGUUUGCUCUGAUGUAAAAAGGAGGUUGUUCAUUUGGAAGCACAAUAAAAAUAAAGUUAAAGGUAAUUUUUAUAGACUGAACUGCUAGUGAACCAUGUAUACUGUCCGGUGGACCGGCCCAACAAAAAUAGAUUCUUGACAGUUGAAAAAGACCUAACACAGGUCAGUCCAUACUGUAUCACAUGGUACCCUAGUGGAUUGUGGUUCCCACCUACAUUCUUACAACGCCCUGUCAUUCCAAACCCCAGCCUGCUCACUACCACCUCUAAAGACUGGGGUCGGCAAGUCACAGCAAGCUGGGACUUCACACUGUGGAGAGAGGAUGGUGCGGGUCAGAGAAGCAAGGCAGACCAGAUGGGAAAGCUUAGCAGCAGCAGGAUAGGAAGACAAAGGACUGGAGGGGGUCAGCCUGUAGAGUCACAGUAUUUACCAGGACAGUGAAUUAUGCCAGAUGAGGAGGCAAGUCAAGAUAGAAGCUUCUGCAAGGAAAUAAAUUGUCCCCAGUAAAGUGUGUACAGACAUUUCAAUGGCAUACUGUGUACACAGUGAGCUCCAGAAGUAUCAGGAUAGUGGGAUUGUUUUGACUCUGUACUCCAGCACUUUGGAUAUGAAAUGAUACAAUGACUAAGGUUAAAAAGCAGAUGUCAGCUUUAUUUUGAGGGUGUUAUUGGGUGAACCGUUUAGAAAUCACAGUACUUUUUGUACAUAGCAGCGCUAUGUACCCCCCCCCCCAUUUAAGGGGAGUAAAAGUAUUAGGACAAAUGCACUUAUGUGUAUGAAAUUAGUAAAAGGUUAAGUAUUAAGCCCUAUAUUCAUGGGGCGGCAGGGUAUCCUAGUGGUCAGAGCGUUGGACUAGUAACCGGAAGGUUGCAAGUUCAAAUCCCCGAGCUGACAAGGUAGAAAUCUGUCGUUCUGCCCCUGAACAGGCAGUUAACCCACUGUUCCUAGGCAGUCAUUGAAAAUGAGGAUUUGUUCUUAACUGACUUGCCUAGUUAAAUAAAGGUAAAAAAUAGCACGCAAUGACGACAUCAAGCUUGUGACUUUAGAAAUGUUUUGGAAGCAUUUGCUGUUUAUUUUUGGUUGUUUCAGAUUAUUUUGCACCAAAUAUUAAUGAAUGGUAAAGUGUGUAUUGCGCGCACUGUAUUGAACAUGAUGAACCUGUCUAGGAGUGUUCAUCUAAAAUCAACAGUCAUCAUUACUCAUCUUCAUCAAAGACCUCCAUUUACCCUGCUGACUUUCUAGUUGUUCCAAGAAACAAGAACUAGCCCUUCUUUCCCACACUAGUCAUCUCUGGUUUCAAAUGUCCCAGAAUAGAUGUGGGUGAGGUGACACGACAAAGUUCUGCUCUAGUGCCACUACCUGAGGGCAUAUCUCGCCAAUCUGCCAUCCAUUGGAUUGCCUACUUGACCAUCAUUCUGUACAACUGAAUCAAUGUCUUUCCUAGUUUACCACUGCAAAUCUGUGGCAAUUAACCCUACACAUUUUCACUGGACAAUGUUUGUUCUUAAAGAUCACAUGAAAUGGAAAAAGUAACAACUUGUCUUAAUACAGUAUAGUGAAUACUUGGAGAAGGAAAAACUCCCUGAACUGUUCACAUCUAAAAUGUACCUAAAUCAAGCCAAUCAUGAUUGAGUUUAAUCAGUUAUAGUUUAAACAUUGUAGUUUCAAGUAACUUUAAAUAAUAUUCUAAUUAUACCAUUAAAGAUUAAAUGUUCUGUAGGAAAUAUAGUCCUAUAUUGUUACAAUAAAUAUUUUAGAUCAUUGGGGCAGAAGUAGUGGUAUCAGACUCUUGACACGGUAACAAUAGGAGAUCGGCUGGUUUAUUCUUCUGGCUUUUUGGUUGCAAGAAAAUUUGUUUUAACACACAGGUGCAAGUGAUCUCCUGUUAGUAGAUAUGCAAUGGACCCAGCAUAUUUAACAAGGCUAAAUAGAACCUAGAUUAGCACUCCUACUCUGAGACACUAUGAAUAUGUUCAGUGACAAUCUCCUCAGUGAUCUGAUACUGGAUCCUCUCCAUUUCACAGUGUACUUUGAGAACACAACAGCCAUUGAAGAUGACAGGUAUUAUCUAGCCAUUGUCUAAAAUGUCUCAGGUAAUUAGAACAUCCAAUGUCACAUAAUGGUUCACGUAAUCAAACCGCUCUUCAACACAAAAAAACACUGUCCCAGCAGCCUAAGCAUUGUGCAAGAAAAUGGGUCAGCCAGCUUUCUUCUGAACUUCCUUCUGGCUUUGAAAAGCAGUGGGUACCACCUUCCCAAUGCGUACAAUUUCAUCUUUAGUCAAUGAAACCUAGCCCACAGCUAACAGGCAUGCUACACUGCUCAUGUCAGUAAAAGCCAUGUGUCCGGUUAAGCUCCUCCAACACAGGAGAGAAUAUUAAACCAGGCCAAAGAAACACUGGCAUCCUAUACAGCAAAAAGGCCAUCUAGGAUAUCUAGUGAAGAGAGAUGUAAACAGGUGGGCAGUCAGGGAGUUUGAUUAAGCUGAACCACUGUGCACCGGUCUAUGGCCCGUGACGUGAACGGCAAAAGGGGUGAGGGAGGAGCGCCGUUCUCAACUCAAAGAGUAAUCUGCAUUGUUUAGGCAUGUUGUCAAGGCAGGAGCAUGGUGCAUCAUUCAGAAAUAUAUUUCCUAUAAAACACACACUACUGUUCAAAAGUUUGGGGUCACUUAAAUGUUCUCGAUUUUGAAAGAAAAGCAUAUUUUUGUUCAUUAAAAUAACAUCAAAUUGAUCAGAAAUACAAUGUAGGCAUUGCUAAUGUUGUAAAUUACUUUUGUAGCUGGAAGCCGCUGAUUUUUUUAUGGAAUACCUACAUAGGUGUACAGAGGCCCAUUAUCAGCAACCAUCACGCCUGUGUUCCAAUUAUAAUUUUAAAAGGCUAAUUGAUCACUAGAAAACCCUUUGGCAAUUAUGUUAGCACAGCUGAAAACUGUUGUUCUCAUUAAAGAAGCAAUAAAACUGGCCUUCUUUAGACUAGUUGAGUAUCUGGAGCAUCAGCAUGUGGGUUUGAUUACAGGCUCAAAUGGCCAAAAACAAAGACCUGUCUUCUGAAACUCAUCAGUCUAUUCUUGUUCUGAGAAAUUAAGGCUAUUCCAUGCGAGAAAUUGCCUAGAUACUGAAGAUCGCGUACAACGCUUCCUUCACAGAACCACGCAAACUGGCUCUAACCAGAAUAGAGGGAGCGGGAGGCUCCGGUGCACAACUGAGCAAAAGGACAAGUACAUUAGUGUCUAAUUGUGCAGUUCUGUGAAGGAAGUAGUACACAGCGUUGUACGAGGGUUAGGGUUAGACUGUCGGUUACACAUGAUAACCAAUAAACCUACAAACGCCAGCUAAUACAAUGUGCCAAUGGAACACAAAAGGUAUGGUUGCUGAUAAUGGGCACGCCUAUGUAGAUAUUCCAUUAAAUCUGCCGUUUCCAGCUACAAUAGUCAUUUACAACAUUAACAAUGCCUACAUUAUAUUUCUGAUCAAUUUGAUGUUAUUUUAAUGGACCAAAAACAUUUGCUUUUCUUGUAAAAACAAGGACAUUUCUAAGUAACCCCAAACUUUUGAAUGGUAGUGUUGUUCUAAUUUUUUUUUUAACUACACUGAACAAAAAUAUAAAGGCAACAAUUUCAAAGACCUCACGGAGUUACAGUUCAUAAGAACAUCAGUCAAUUGAAAAUAAAUUAGGCCCUAGUCUAUGGAUUUCACAUGACUGGGAAUACAGAUAUGCAUCUGCUGGUCACAGACGCAUAUGGGCCUCAAUACCUCUUCACGGUAUCUUUACAUACCAUAACCCCACCAUGGGACACUCUUCACAAUGUUGACAUCAGUAAACCACUCGCCAACAUGACGCCAUUCACAUGAUCUGCGGUUGUGAAGCUGGUUAGAUGUACUGACAAAUUCUUGAAAACGGAGGUGGCCUAUGGUAGAGAAAUUAACAUUCAAUUCUCUGGCAACAGCUCUGGUAGAUAUUCCUGCAGUCAGCAUACCAAUUGCACCCCCCCCGCCCCCCC